CGGAGACCCUGGCACCCGCGUCAGACGCCGGCCGGCGAGGGUGCUGAGAGAGAGAGACCUUGAGCAGCGCUGCGCGCGUCCUCAGCUCUGCGAGCCCCCUCUGGAGCGGCGGGGAUGCGAACCUUGUUUGUGGAUGCCCCUCAAAAAUGCAAUGCCCGGCAUUAGAUGCACAAGCCCAGGCAAUUAAAAUGAAGACUGUUUCCAUGCGGGCCCCCGUGAAAGGGAUUCCUGUGUAUCUCAAGCAACAAAGAGAGCUGUGGAGCAAGGAGAUUCCCUGUGUAAUCGGGAGCACUGGAUGUGAAUCCCAGGUCUGGCAUGGGAACCUUGGUGAGUGAUGCUGAGUGGAAUGUUACGUAUCACCAUCA
This 365-nucleotide long non-coding RNA is filed under the name Homo sapiens (human). RNAcentral describes it as "HSALNT0224197". The record is from RNAcentral. Lineage: Eukaryota; Metazoa; Chordata; Mammalia; Primates; Hominidae.